Molecule: ribosomal RNA, 468 nt
Filed under: uncultured bacterium
Lineage: Bacteria
Description: partial 16S ribosomal RNA
Rfam family: Bacterial small subunit ribosomal RNA
Source: RNAcentral
GACGAACGCUGGCGGCGUGCUUAACACAUGCAAGUCGAACGGAAAGGCCCUGCUUUUGUGGGGUGCUCGAGUGGCGAACGGGUGAGUAACACGUGAGUAACCUGCCCUUGACUUUGGGAUAACUUCAGGAAACUGGGGCUAAUACCGGAUAGGAGCUCCUGCUGCAUGGUGGGGGUUGGAAAGUUUCGGCGGUUGGGGAUGGACUCGCGGCUUAUCAGCUUGUUGGUGGGGUAGUGGCUUACCAAGGCUUUGACGGGUAGCCGGCCUGGGAGGGUGACCGGCCACAUUGGGACUGGGAUACGGCCCAGACUCCUACGGGAGGGAGCAGUGGGGAAUAUUGCACAAUGGGCGGAAGCCUGAUGCAGCAACGCCGCGUGCGGGAUGACGGCCUUCGGGUUGUAAACCGCUUUCGCCUGUGACGAAGCGUGAGUGACGGUAAUGGGUAAAGAAGCACCGGCUAACUACGUG